CAGGUCAGAAAAUCCUUACAGAGCAACAA
RNAcentral lists this non-coding RNA (29 nucleotides) under Mus musculus (house mouse). Lineage: Eukaryota; Metazoa; Chordata; Mammalia; Rodentia; Muridae. The record is from RNAcentral.